This 1119-nucleotide ribosomal RNA is filed under the name Isoptericola sp. Its description in RNAcentral is "bacterial SSU rRNA". It matches the Rfam family "Bacterial small subunit ribosomal RNA", at positions 39 to 1170 of the family's 1533-position model. Lineage: Bacteria; Bacillati; Actinomycetota; Actinomycetes; Micrococcales; Promicromonosporaceae. The record is from RNAcentral.
GCCGUGCGCUCUACCAUGCAGUCGACGGUGAGCUCAGCUUGCUGGGUGGAUCAGUGGCGAACGGGUGAGUAACACGUGAGCAACCUGCCCUCCACUUCGGGAUAAGCCUUGGAAACGGGGUCUAAUACCGGAUAUGAGCACUCAUCGCAUGGUGGGUGUUGGAAAGUUUUUCGGUGGGGGAUGGGCUCGCGGCCUAUCAGCUUGUUGGUGGGGUGAUGGCCUACCAAGGCGUCGACGGGUAGCCGGCCUGAGAGGGCGACCGGCCACACUGGGACUGAGACACGGCCCAGACUCCUACGGGAGGCAGCAGUGGGGAAUAUUGCACAAUGGGCGAAAGCCUGAUGCAGCGACGCCGCGUGAGGGAUGACGGCCUUCGGGUUGUAAACCUCUUUCAGCAGGGAAGAAGGCCCCUUGGGGUGGACGGUACCUGCAGAAGAAGCGCCGGCUAACUACGUGCCAGCAGCCGCGGUAAUACGUAGGGCGCAAGCGUUGUCCGGAAUUAUUGGGCGUAAAGAGCUCGUAGGCGGUCUGUCGCGUCUGGUGUGAAAUCCCAUGGCUCAACUGUGGGCGUGCAUCGGGUACGGGCAGACUAGAGUGCGGUAGGGGAGACUGGAAUUCCUGGUGUAGCGGUGGAAUGCGCAGAUAUCAGGAGGAACACCGAUGGCGAAGGCAGGUCUCUGGGCCGCAACUGACGCUGAGGAGCGAAAGCAUGGGGAGCGAACAGGAUUAGAUACCCUGGUAGUCCAUGCCGUAAACGUUGGGCACUAGGUGUGGGGCUCAUUCCACGAGUUCCGUGCCGCAGCUAACGCAUUAAGUGCCCCGCCUGGGGAGUACGGCCGCAAGGCUAAAACUCAAAGGAAUUGACGGGGGCCCGCACAAGCGGCGGAGCAUGCGGAUUAAUUCGAUGCAACGCGAAGAACCUUACCAAAGGCUUGACAUACACCGGAAACAUCCAGAGAUGGGUGCCCCGUAAGGUCGGUGUACAGGUGGUGCAUGGUUGUCGUCAGCUCGUGUCGUGAGAUGUUGGGUUAAGUCCCGCAACGAGCGCAACCCUCGUCCCAUGUUGCCAGCGGGUUAUGCCGGGGACUCAUGGGAGACUGCCGGGGUCAACUCGGAGGA